UACGUAGGGGCAAGCGUUAUCCGGAAUCAUUGGGCGUAAAGCGCGUGUAGGCGGUUCCGUAAGUCCGCUCUGAAAGCCCAGGGCUCAACCCUGGGAGGCGGGUGGAUACUACGGAACUGGAGUACGGAAGAGGGAGUAGUGAAUUCCUGGUGUAGCGGUGAAAUGCGCAGAUAUCAGGAGGAACACCAACAGCGAAGGCAGAUCUCUGGGACGUUACUGACGCUGAGACGCGAAAGCGUGGGGAGCAAACAGG
This 253-nucleotide ribosomal RNA is filed under the name uncultured bacterium. Its description in RNAcentral is "partial 16S ribosomal RNA". It matches the Rfam family "Bacterial small subunit ribosomal RNA", at positions 524 to 776 of the family's 1533-position model. The record is from RNAcentral.